AGUGAACGCUGGCGGUAGGCCUAACACAUGCAAGUCGAACGGCAGCACAGUAAGAGCUUGCUCUUACGGGUGGCGAGUGGCGGACGGGUGAGGAAUACAUCGGAAUCUACUUUUUCGUGGGGGAUAACGUAGGGAAACUUACGCUAAUACCGCAUACGACCUACGGGUGAAAGCAGGGGAUCUUCGGACCUUGCGCGAUUGAAUGAGCCGAUGUCGGAUUAGCUAGUUGGCGGGGUAAAGGCCCACCAAGGCGACGAUCCGUAGCUGGUCUGAGAGGAGGAUCAGCCACAUUGGAACUGAGACACGGUCCAGACUCCUACGGGAGGCAGCAGUGGGGAAUAUUGGACAAUGGGCGCAAGCCUGAUCCAGCCAUACCGCGUGGGUGAAGAAGGCCUUCGGGUUGUAAAGCCCUUUUGUUGGGAAAGAAAAGCAGCAGGUUAAUACCCCGCUGUUCUGACGGUACCCAAAGAAUAAGCACCGGCUAACUUCGUG
Molecule: ribosomal RNA, 492 nt
Filed under: uncultured bacterium
Lineage: Bacteria
Description: partial 16S ribosomal RNA
Rfam family: Bacterial small subunit ribosomal RNA
Source: RNAcentral